This is an RNA transcript of Vigna angularis (adzuki bean), 1142 nucleotides long. RefSeq lists it as uncharacterized. The record is from RefSeq and is a predicted model, not a curated record. The transcript is spliced from 7 exons. NCBI's taxonomy places the organism in Eukaryota, Viridiplantae, Streptophyta, Magnoliopsida, Fabales, Fabaceae.
CGGUAUGUUAAAAUUGGAAUUCAUUUAUUUAUCCAAAUAAAUAUACUUGAAAAAACAAAUGAAACCGUUUAUUUGAUACCUGAUAUCCCAGGUUGUAGGGGAAGAAGCAGGAAGGUUGAAGUUGAAACAAUAGAUGAACAGCAGUAGACACAAUCUAUUGCUUAGUUGUGGGCACGCGCCAUCCCCACCGGUGAAACGAUGCCGUUUAGAUUGCCGUGUCAAAGCACAGCUGACAGAGGGAAUGGAAAUUCGGGUGUGCAGCAACCGCAGCUGCCGCAGACAGGGCUCAUUUCAAACCCUAGAAACCCUCUAUGGGGUCGCUCCUCCAAACGUAACCGUAAAGUCGUGCGGGUGCUUGGGGCGGUGCGGUGGGGGCCCCAACCUAGUGGUCCUGCCUGAUGGCCUCAUCUUUGGCCAUUGUGGGACGGCUGCUCGGGCGGCGGAGCUCGUAGUAACUCUGUUUGCCGAAGCCGGCCAUGACCCAAAGACUUGUUUGGACGCGCUUGCUCUGAGGAAGAGAGCGGACAUUGAGUUUGCCAACCGAAAUUUCACUCAGGCUGAGCUUCUGCUCUCACAGGCUAUAGAUUUAAAACCAUUUGGUGGCAUGCAUAUCAUAUUUAAAUGCAGGUCAUUUGUAAGGCUGGAAUUGGGCAACUACUCUGGUGCCCUCGAAGAUGCUGAAGAGGCUUUGGCAUUAGCUCCCCGUUAUUCUGAGGAUGACUCUCGUAUCGAACUUCCCUACACCUCCUUGGAAGAAGGAUUAUUUGUGAUUCUCUUUGUAGAAUUGCUGGGUGGAAUGUUGUCAACGUGUUAACCAUAGCAGAUUCUGGAUUGGGAUAAUGGAAUUUCAUGGGUGACAAUGGUGGUGGUCAUGGGGCCAAGAAGGCAGUUUGUGGCAGUGAGGAUGAGAGAUGUCACGUGUGGAUUGAGCAACUGGUGGAAGCUGGAGAGAGAAAGGGUUGAGAGGAUUAAAUUCAGUAUGGAAGAAGCAGGAUACAACUGCUUGUAUCUGCCAAGGUGACGCCUUCUUGGCAUUGAACAAAUUUGAUUUGGCAGAGCAGUCAUAUUUAACAUCUUUAGAUAUUGAACCUUCGAUUCGCCAUUCUAAAUCAUUCAAGGCUCGGGUAACAAAUCUUCAGGAA